GAUGAAGAACGUAGUGAAAUGCGAUACGUAAUGUGAAUUGCAGAAUUCAGUGAAUCAUCGAGUCUUUGAACGCACAUUGCGCCCCCUGGUAUUCCGGGGGGCAUGCCUGUCCGAGCGUCAUUGCUGCCCUCAAGCACGGCUUGUGUGUUGGGCCCCCGCCCCCCGGUUCCCGGGGGGCGGGCCCGAAAGGCAGCGGCGGCACCGCGUCCGGUCCUCGAGCGUAUGGGGCUUCGUCACCCGCUCCGUAGGCCCGGCCGGCGCCCGCCGGCGACCCCCCCUUAAUCUUUCCAGGUUGACCUCGGAUCAGGUAGGGAUACCCGCUGAACUUAAGCAUAUCAAUAAGCGGAGGA
RNAcentral lists this unclassified non-coding RNA (350 nucleotides) under soil metagenome. RNAcentral's name for it is "partial contains 5.8S ribosomal RNA, internal transcribed spacer 2, and large subunit ribosomal RNA". The stretch from base 1 to 120 matches the Rfam family "5.8S ribosomal RNA", at positions 35 to 154 of the family's 154-position model. The record is from RNAcentral.